AGGCAGUCUUGAAAUGCAUAGAAGAGUACAAACUCGAGGAAGAGUUCCCUCCGGAGAACCUCAAGAAGCGGUUGGAACAGCUAGAGAAGACCAAAACCGAGAAGAGAAAACCAGCAGCUGUACCGGCAAACAAGAGAACCAGAGCCAGCUACAACGGUCCAAUGCCACCAGCGAAAGCCGGGCGUAUCACAAACGCUUACGUCUCUUCCUUCCCGUUCAUCAGAUCACCGUCUCACUCCCCUCAGUACGCUUCACCCGCAGCGGCUUACCCAUCACCACCUACUACUGUCUACAGCAACAGGAGCCCACCUUAUCCAUACUCCCCUGAGCUUAUCCCCGCCUCAUACCAAG
RNAcentral lists this long non-coding RNA (351 nucleotides) under Brassica napus (rape). Its description in RNAcentral is "long non-coding RNA (BNAP_LNC025941)". The record is from RNAcentral. Lineage: Eukaryota; Viridiplantae; Streptophyta; Magnoliopsida; Brassicales; Brassicaceae.